GAAUCCUAAAACAGAAAAAGAAAAUUAGAGAUCAAGGUACUGAACAUGACAGUGUUGCGGAUGAUAGCUCCAACACUCUGAGGAAAUCAGAUUAUAAUUUCAAGGCAGUUCUGUUGUUAGCAUUGCCCAAGUUUGGAUCUACCUCAACAGGUCAACCUACAUCUAAAGAAUGAAAAUUGCUGCCUUCUGUUCAACUGCCCACCACCACGAACACCAAAUACAACAACAACUCAAAAAAAGCUAUAGAAAACAUUAUUUUAAAAAUGUUAUUUUGAUUUGUACAUCCCUACUGAGUAAUAAUAUUGAGUAGUUCCAUACAGUGCAUGCCUACCAUACAUAUGCAAUAGAGAAUGAAAUCAGAAAUGGCUCAUUUAAGGAGGUAACAAUUUGGCUUGUGACCUGAAAGGGAGCUGGAUAUGUGUUGACUGAGAAAGGAGCCAUUAGGACAAAGAAACCAAAAAGGCAAAAACGGAAGGGAAGGAACUUGGAAAUGAAGGGAAGAUGUUGAUCAUGCCUGUAAUGGUAUAAGAAAGGGUGCUAGAUGAGAUUAAAGAAGUGGGUAGUUAGUUAGAGUGGUACCUUGAAGGCCAGGGUUCAUUGUUUGGAUUCAUUCUUAGUGCAGCUAUAGUCAUGUGAGGGUGGUAAGUAUGGGAAGGAAGUGACAUGAUGUACUUUUUUAAAACUUUUAUAUUGAAGUAACAAAUACAA
This 708-nucleotide long non-coding RNA is filed under the name Homo sapiens (human). RNAcentral's name for it is "HSALNT0285638". Lineage: Eukaryota; Metazoa; Chordata; Mammalia; Primates; Hominidae. The record is from RNAcentral.